RNAcentral lists this ribosomal RNA (603 nucleotides) under Triticum aestivum (bread wheat). RNAcentral describes it as "partial small subunit ribosomal RNA". Lineage: Eukaryota; Viridiplantae; Streptophyta; Magnoliopsida; Poales; Poaceae. The record is from RNAcentral.
AUGAGCACGCAGCCUCAGCAAGGUAUGAACAUCAACACCCCACCUACCCAAUUAGCGUCGGGUGUCGGGUUGGGUGAUAGCAGACGGGGUAAGGAAGAGGCUCCAUUAGUCGUUGAUGACAUCGCCAUGGAUGAGGAUGAGGAUGACGAUGGCACUCAACAGUAUGUCUCUACUGGCGCCUACUCAGGGUUUGAGCGUCAUGAGUCGGUGCCUGAAUUGCCGCCUCCGGAGGCUCAACGUAUUAUAGACGACCUUCCAGCAAAGAAGCCUAGGAAGAGACCGAGGAAAGGCAAGAAAGACGAUUCUAUGAUCCAGCCGCCUCAGCAGCCUCGGGUUCAAGAUCGUGUAGAUAUUCCCGGUGCGGAUAAAUUGCAUAUGCCCAGUCAACCAAUCCUACCUGCAGCAGCGCUAGGGACCAGUUUCGGUGAUCUAAGGAGACUUCAUGACGAUGUGCUGUGGAUAGAGAAAUGCCUCAUCGCCUCGAAAGAUCCAGGAUACCCACUCUACGUGGUUAACGUUCCGCGCAAUUGUCGUACGUCGACUUCUUCCCCGCGGAUAAGUUCUUCCUUUGAUUCGUUUACAUAUUCAACAUGUUUCAUGUGA